GUCAAAAUGAGUCAGGUGAAAUCAAUGAGUCGUCAUGGUGACAAAACAAACAAGGAAGUGCAAACAGGAACUAAAAGAGUCCAAAAACCAACAGAACAUAACCAAACAAAACAUGAUCUAGACCACAGAUCAUGACACAAAACAGACAAUGAUGGACACAGCGCUGGAAGUGGGUAUGUCUCAAGCUUCGUCAACGUGCUCCACUCCAAAGCGAGCUGCAAAGGUGAAGAAGUGGAAGAAGUUGAAUGACACGUUGCAUUUUAUAACUGGCAACAAAGUACCAGGUAAAAAAGAUUGUGAAGCCUGCUUCCAGAAAGAACUAGUAGCUCUACAGGACAGAGAUUGGGUUGCCAUCAAGUACUACGUCCAUAACAGAAUCAUAUCAAAAAAAGGA
Long non-coding RNA from Nerophis lumbriciformis (worm pipefish), 394 nucleotides. RefSeq lists it as uncharacterized. Lineage: Eukaryota; Metazoa; Chordata; Actinopteri; Syngnathiformes; Syngnathidae. The record is from RefSeq and is a predicted model, not a curated record.